Molecule: ribosomal RNA, 2898 nt
Filed under: Pseudomonas fluorescens
Lineage: Bacteria; Pseudomonadati; Pseudomonadota; Gammaproteobacteria; Pseudomonadales; Pseudomonadaceae
Description: 23S ribosomal RNA
Rfam family: Bacterial large subunit ribosomal RNA
Source: RNAcentral
GGUCAAGUGAAGAAGCGCAUACGGUGGAUGCCUUGGCAGUCAGAGGCGAUGAAAGACGUGGUAGCCUGCGAAAAGCUUCGGGGAGUCGGCAAACAGACUUUGAUCCGGAGAUGUCUGAAUGGGGGAACCCAGCCAUCAUAAGAUGGUUAUCUUGUACUGAAUACAUAGGUGCAAGAGGCGAACCAGGGGAACUGAAACAUCUAAGUACCCUGAGGAAAAGAAAUCAACCGAGAUUCCCUUAGUAGUGGCGAGCGAACGGGGACUAGCCCUUAAGUGGCUUUGAGAUUAGCGGAACGCUCUGGAAAGUGCGGCCAUAGUGGGUGAUAGCCCUGUACGCGAAAAAUCUCUUAGUCAUGAAAUCGAGUAGGACGGAGCACGAGAAACUUUGUCUGAAUAUGGGGGGACCAUCCUCCAAGGCUAAAUACUACUGACUGACCGAUAGUGAACUAGUACCGUGAGGGAAAGGCGAAAAAGAACCCCCGGAGAGGGGAGUGAAAUAGAUCCUGAAACCGUAUGCGUACAAGCAGUGGGAGCAGACUUUGUUCUGUGACUGCGUACCUUUUUGUAUAAUGGGUCAGCGACUUAUUUUCAGUGGCGAGCUUAACCGAAUAGGGGAGGCGUAGCGAAAGCGAGUCUUAAUAGGGCGUCUAGUCGCUGGGAAUAGACCCGAAACCGGGCGAUCUAUCCAUGGGCAGGUUGAAGGUUAGGUAACACUGACUGGAGGACCGAACCGACUACCGUUGAAAAAGUUAGCGGAUGACCUGUGGAUCGGAGUGAAAGGCUAAUCAAGCUCGGAGAUAGCUGGUUCUCCUCGAAAGCUAUUUAGGUAGCGCCUCAUGUAUCACUGUAGGGGGGUAGAGCACUGUUUCGGCUAGGGGGUCAUCCCGACUUACCAAACCGAUGCAAACUCCGAAUACCUACAAGUGCCGAGCAUGGGAGACACACGGCGGGUGCUAACGUCCGUCGUGAAAAGGGAAACAACCCAGACCGUCAGCUAAGGUCCCAAAGUUAUGGUUAAGUGGGAAACGAUGUGGGAAGGCUUAGACAGCUAGGAGGUUGGCUUAGAAGCAGCCACCCUUUAAAGAAAGCGUAAUAGCUCACUAGUCGAGUCGGCCUGCGCGGAAGAUGUAACGGGGCUCAAACCAUACACCGAAGCUACGGGUAUCACGUAAGUGAUGCGGUAGAGGAGCGUUCUGUAAGCCUGUGAAGGUGAGUUGAGAAGCUUGCUGGAGGUAUCAGAAGUGCGAAUGCUGACAUGAGUAACGACAAUGGGUGUGAAAAACACCCACGCCGAAAGACCAAGGUUUCCUGCGCAACGUUAAUCGACGCAGGGUUAGUCGGUCCCUAAGGCGAGGCUGAAAAGCGUAGUCGAUGGAAAACAGGUUAAUAUUCCUGUACUUCUGGUUAUUGCGAUGGAGGGACGGAGAAGGCUAGGCCAGCUUGGCGUUGGUUGUCCAAGUUUAAGGUGGUAGGCUGGAAUCUUAGGUAAAUCCGGGAUUCUAAGGCCGAGAGCUGAUGACGAGUUGCCUUUAGGCGACGAAGUGGUUGAUGCCAUGCUUCCAAGAAAAGCUUCUAAGCUUCAGAUAACCAGGAACCGUACCCCAAACCGACACAGGUGGUUGGGUAGAGAAUACCAAGGCGCUUGAGAGAACUCGGGUGAAGGAACUAGGCAAAAUGGCACCGUAACUUCGGGAGAAGGUGCGCCGGUGAGGGUGAAGCACUUGCUGCGUAAGCCCACGCCGGUCGAAGAUACCAGGCCGCUGCGACUGUUUAUUAAAAACACAGCACUCUGCAAACACGAAAGUGGACGUAUAGGGUGUGACGCCUGCCCGGUGCCGGAAGGUUAAUUGAUGGGGUUAGCUAACGCGAAGCUCUUGAUCGAAGCCCCGGUAAACGGCGGCCGUAACUAUAACGGUCCUAAGGUAGCGAAAUUCCUUGUCGGGUAAGUUCCGACCUGCACGAAUGGCGUAACGAUGGCGGCGCUGUCUCCACCCGAGACUCAGUGAAAUUGAAAUCGCUGUGAAGAUGCAGUGUAUCCGCGGCUAGACGGAAAGACCCCGUGAACCUUUACUAUAGCUUUGCACUGGACUUUGAAUUUGCUUGUGUAGGAUAGGUGGGAGGCUUUGAAGCGUGGACGCCAGUUCGCGUGGAGCCAUCCUUGAAAUACCACCCUGGCAACUUUGAGGUUCUAACUCAGGUCCGUUAUCCGGAUCGAGGACAGUGUAUGGUGGGUAGUUUGACUGGGGCGGUCUCCUCCCUAAAGAGUAACGGAGGAGUACGAAGGUGCGCUCAGACCGGUCGGAAAUCGGUCGUAGAGUAUAAAGGCAAAAGCGCGCUUGACUGCGAGACAGACACGUCGAGCAGGUACGAAAGUAGGUCUUAGUGAUCCGGUGGUUCUGUAUGGAAGGGCCAUCGCUCAACGGAUAAAAGGUACUCCGGGGAUAACAGGCUGAUACCGCCCAAGAGUUCAUAUCGACGGCGGUGUUUGGCACCUCGAUGUCGGCUCAUCACAUCCUGGGGCUGAAGCCGGUCCCAAGGGUAUGGCUGUUCGCCAUUUAAAGUGGUACGCGAGCUGGGUUUAGAACGUCGUGAGACAGUUCGGUCCCUAUCUGCCGUGGACGUUUGAGAUUUGAGAGGGGCUGCUCCUAGUACGAGAGGACCGGAGUGGACGAACCUCUGGUGUUCCGGUUGUCACGCCAGUGGCAUUGCCGGGUAGCUAUGUUCGGGAAAGAUAACCGCUGAAAGCAUCUAAGCGGGAAACUUGCCUCAAGAUGAGAUCUCACUGGAACCUUGAGUUCCCUGAAGGGCCGUCGAAGACUACGACGUUGAUAGGUUGGGUGUGUAAGCGCUGUGAGGCGUUGAGCUAACCAAUACUAAUUGCCCGUGAGGCUUGACCAU